GCAAUCAGUCUGAGGUCAGAGGUCAGUGUGAGGCCAGUCAGAGGUCAGUGUGAGGUCAGUCCGAGUUCAGUGUGCAAUCAGUCUGAGGUCAGAGGUCAGUGUGAGGUCAGUCAGAGGUCAGUGUGAGGUCAGUCCGAGUUCAGUGUGCAAUCAGUCUGAGGUCAGAGGUCAGUGUGAGGCCAGUCAGAGGUCAGUGUGAGGUCAGUCCGAGUUCAGUGUGCAAUCAGUCUGAGGUCAGAGGUCAGUGUGAGGUCAGUCUGAGGUCAGCGUGCGAUCAGUCUGAGGUCAGAGGUCAGUGUGAGGUCAGUCUGAGGUCAGUGUGAGGUCAGUCAGAGGUCAGUGUCUGAUCAGUCUGAGGUCAGUCAGAGGUCAGUGUGCAAUUAGUCUGAGGUCAGAGGUCAGUGUGAGGUCAGUCCGAGGUCAGCGUGCGAUCAGUCUGAGGUCAGAGGUCAGUGUGAGGUCAGUCCGAGGUCAGUCAGAGUUCAGUGUCUGAUCAGUCUGAGGUCAGAGGUCAGUGUGAGGUCACAUGGCGUGUGUCUGAUCAUCAUGUUUGUGGAUAAAGCUGAAUGUAUUGACUGUGUGUUUCACUGAAUUCGCUGAACUGACCGGCAGCUUGACUUUUAAAGUCGUGUCUGGUUUGCGUUUCUCUUACUUUCACUGAGAUGUUUGGGGGAUUGUUUUACUCUCUCAGUAGUUUA
Cyprinus carpio (common carp) is the source of this 698-nucleotide long non-coding RNA. The record is from Ensembl. NCBI's taxonomy places the organism in Eukaryota, Metazoa, Chordata, Actinopteri, Cypriniformes, Cyprinidae.